AUCAUUCAACAAGGCAUAUCAUUACAUGCAUAUAUGUUUAUAAUCUUACCUUGGCAAAAUUUGAACAACCACUUAACAUAUAUUUAGCUACCAUAGAAUGACAUACAAGUAUAUCAAAACAACCAUUACUAGUCAUUCCAAUUGCUAGAUUGCAAACAUCAUUUUCAAGCCACUAAUGGACAAGCUGUCCUAUACAUGCCAUUAUACCAUAAUGAUUCUACUAUAUGUAUACCCCAAAAUAACUAGUUAAUAGUGUGAAGAUGCUCCAAUGAUCUCCAACCUUCGUGAGCUUCUGAGCACUAUAAAACAAGGAAAAUAAAAUGGAGUAAGCAUUACAUGCUUAGUAAGUUCGUAUAAUGAAAACUAAACUUACCAAUCCCGUUUAUUAAAUUUAAGCAUACAAUAUCAUGUUUUCCAUCCAUUAGCAAAAUUUCCUAAACACAUGUGUAAACGGGCCAAUUUGCCUGGGCCCAUGUCAAAGCCAAAAUACCAAAAUAAAUCUAAAACCCAUAAAAAUAAAAACCAAUCAAUAGUCCGGGUCCAGUUCCAAAAUCCAAUUACACGGCCCAAAUACAAUGGUCCUAACCCUAGCCCCAUUCGCUCAGUGCCACAGUAGCCUCCAGCACUACCAUGGCUCGCGCCUCCACGUCGACACCACCAGCAGACUCCGUACGCGCCAGCUACCCCUACCACGUUGCCUCCAUACCUGUAAAUGAAGACAAGCAAAGGAUGACCACAACAACAAUAGCAAAAAACAAGCAGAGCAAUGAGAAAAAAAGAAAAGGAAUUGUAUUUUUCUUUGUCAUUUUCUUUGGUUCGGCUAUAAAGCCAAGAACCUUUCCUUUUGUAAAAAACUACGAACACAGACACACACAACAAAAAAAUCAAUACAGAAAAGCUUAAAAAAAAGUCUCCACAAAGUGAUUUGAUUCUCGUUCUUUCUUUCAAUUUAGUUUCUAUUUUCUUUGAUUUAUCUAUUUCAUGAAAAACGAAUAAAAGGGAGGGUGAAUCAAAUACAAAGAAAUCAAUUUUGUUUAAAGAAAAAGAGAGGAGAGCCUUAUCUUGCAGAUAUGCCAAAGGUUCUUCUCACUUUGUUGCAAUCGAAGUUGGAAAUAGAUCUCAAGGCUGAAAGUUCUCCAUCGUUGGUAGGUUCAGGCCGUCAUCUGCACUUUCGGCCACCAGAUCUGGUGGUGGUUCGGCUGCUGCAAGUUUAUGGACUGAAACCUAGUUGAGGGUUAGGAAUUUGGGGGGUUUUUGCUCAGAAAAAUGGUUUUUG
RNAcentral lists this long non-coding RNA (1276 nucleotides) under Gossypium barbadense (sea-island cotton). RNAcentral's name for it is "long non-coding RNA (GBAR_LNC000564)". The record is from RNAcentral. Lineage: Eukaryota; Viridiplantae; Streptophyta; Magnoliopsida; Malvales; Malvaceae.